RNAcentral lists this unclassified non-coding RNA (286 nucleotides) under Hevea brasiliensis (rubber tree). Lineage: Eukaryota; Viridiplantae; Streptophyta; Magnoliopsida; Malpighiales; Euphorbiaceae. The record is from RNAcentral.
GCAAACUUUCAGAAUAAAGAACGACAAUAUACCACAUGAAAAAAUGUCAUCACGUAAAAACUUCUUCCAAAAACGACCAGAGAAUCAAAAGCCCUAUUCUUCCAGAGCUUACUCAAAAAUAUAUAACAGUAAGUACACCUAGCAAAAACUAUAACUCCAGCAAUUCAAAUUGUCCACUUGUCAAAAUAUUCAAAGCCAUGUUUCAGUUUGAUAUGGAAAUGGAUUGCAAUUUACGGAUUAUAAUUUUAUUAUCAUGUUUGAUGCGCAAGAAAUUUAAUUUUUUUUU